UGCCCUUCUAUUCUGCACUGAUGAGACUUCACCUGGAUUACUGUGUCCCAGUGUGGAGUACUAGAGAAAUGUGGACCUGUUGGAGAGUGUUGGGGGGAAAUGGUUUCUAACUAGAAAGAAGAUUCAGAUUAGAUAUAAGGAAGAAAUUUUUAUGAUGAGUGGUGUCUCCAUCCCUGGGGACAUUCAAGAUCAGGCUGGAUGGGGCUCCGAGUAACCUGAUCUAGCUGUAGGCAUCUCUGUUCAUUUCAGGGUAGUUAGACUAGGUGACCUUGGAAGGUUCCUUCCAACUCAAAAGAUUCUACAUUUCUAUGAAGAAAGCAGAGGACUCAGCAAGAGGUUGCACUGCUGCAAAGAAGUAUCAGAAACAUGGAGUUGAUUGUAAUCAACUUGUUUCCUUGCUCCUUUUCUUUUUUCCCUCAGUUUUUGUCUAAAUUUCCUUGAAAUAUUUCCACUUUUCCUUUCCUUGUUUAUGUAUUUCAUACUGGAUUUCAAAGCAAUCUUGGGCAGCCCGUUUUUCAUAUGAUUUGAUGUCAUCUCAUCAGUUGAUUGCGUAUAAAGAGGGCUUAUAUGCCUACCCUUCAGCAGAACUUGAGGUGAUACAGAAAUAUUCUUCUGAUAAGCCACACCAGCAAAAAAUGAAAUGAAAUGAAAUAAAUGAAGUGGAAUAAUAUAAACCCAGAUGACAUCUGCUGUAUCCUAAGCAUGCUCCUACACUCAGACACCGAUUUGUUUAACUGAAUGAAAGUGAGCUGUGGCUGAGCAGCUCAGAUGGUGGUACCCCCUGCUCCAUGUCUGUCCCCACACCAGUGGGCACCUUGCCCCUUGCUGCAGCAUUAAGGGCUUCAUUCAUUUGGGACACACCAGGAAACUUUACACUUUUUUAAGGGAUGGUGCUCACCAGGGAAAGGGUGCCUGCAGUAAAGCAGUCUUUUUCUCUGGUGUAUAGAGACAGGUGCUAACAGUGAGCUAUGGAAUCCCCACACCCCUUUCCCAGGACACACAGCUGAGGCACUAACACCGGCUGUCUUUAUGGCUGUUCUUACUGUUUGAACACACCAGCCAAAUUUUACCAUAUGUAAGGUCCUUAUUUCCUAAGUUUCAUGG
Gallus gallus (chicken) is the source of this 1104-nucleotide long non-coding RNA. NCBI's taxonomy places the organism in Eukaryota, Metazoa, Chordata, Aves, Galliformes, Phasianidae. The record is from Ensembl.